This is a transfer RNA of Ananas comosus (pineapple), 81 nucleotides long. It matches the Rfam family "tRNA". Rfam says of the family: Transfer RNA (tRNA) molecules are approximately 80 nucleotides in length. Their secondary structure includes four short double-helical elements and three loops (D, anti-codon, and T loops). Further hydrogen bonds mediate the characteristic L-shaped molecular structure. tRNAs have two regions of fundamental functional importance: the anti-codon, which is responsible for specific mRNA codon recognition, and the 3' end, to which the tRNAs corresponding amino acid is attached (by aminoacyl-tRNA synthetases). tRNAs cope with the degeneracy of the genetic code in two manners: having more than one tRNA (with a specific anti-codon) for a particular amino acid; and 'wobble' base-pairing, i.e. permitting non-standard base-pairing at the 3rd anti-codon position. Lineage: Eukaryota; Viridiplantae; Streptophyta; Magnoliopsida; Poales; Bromeliaceae. The record is from Rfam.
GCAUCCAUGGCUGAAUGGUUAAAGCGCCCAACCUAUACCUUACUAAAAAAGGGCAAGUAGGUUCGAUUCCUGCUGGAUGCG